This 27-nucleotide non-coding RNA is filed under the name Rattus norvegicus (Norway rat). Lineage: Eukaryota; Metazoa; Chordata; Mammalia; Rodentia; Muridae. The record is from RNAcentral.
UCCACACGACUCCACUUCCACAGACCC